RNAcentral lists this ribosomal RNA (116 nucleotides) under Pteropus alecto (black flying fox). The record is from RNAcentral. Lineage: Eukaryota; Metazoa; Chordata; Mammalia; Chiroptera; Pteropodidae.
GUCUAUGGCCAUGCCACCUUGAACAAGCCCAAUGUCUGAUCUCAGAAACUAAGCGGGGUUGGGCCUGGUUAGUACUUGGAUGGGAGACCACCCAGGAAGACCAGGUGCUGUAGGCA